RNAcentral lists this ribosomal RNA (837 nucleotides) under uncultured bacterium. RNAcentral's name for it is "bacterial SSU rRNA". It matches the Rfam family "Bacterial small subunit ribosomal RNA", at positions 54 to 934 of the family's 1533-position model. The record is from RNAcentral.
CAUGCAAGUCGAACGGAGCUUUUCGGAGCUUAGUGGCGGACGGGUGAGUAACGCGUGAGAAUCUGCCUUUUGGACCGGGACAACUGCUGGAAACGGCAGCUAAGACCGGAUGUGCCCUUGGGUGAAAUAUUCAUAGCCAAAAGAGGAGCUCGCGACCGAUUAGCUAGUUGGUGGGGUAAGAGCCUACCAAGGCUGCGAUCGGUAGCCGGUUUGAGAGGACGACCGGCCACACUGGGACUGAGACACGGCCCAGACUCCUACGGGAGGCAGCAGUGGGGAAUUUUCCGCAAUGGGCGAAAGCCUGACGGAGCAAUACCGCGUGAGGGAGGAAGGCUCUUGGGUCGUAAACCUCUUUUCUCAGGGAAGAAGCAAUGACGGUACCUGAGGAAUCAGCAUCGGCUAACUCCGUGCCAGCAGCCGCGGUAAUACGGAGGAUGCAAGCGUUAUCCGGAAUGAUUGGGCGUAAAGCGUCCGCAGGUGGCACAUCAAGUCUGCUGUCAAAGCCCCCAGCUUAACUGGGAAGAGGCGGUGGAAACUGGUGAGCUAGAUAGCAAUAGGGGUAGAGGGAAUUCCCGGUGUAGCGGUGAAAUGCGUAUAGAUCGGGAAGAACACCAGUGGCGAAAGCGCUCUACUAGGUUGCAACUGACACUGAGGGACGAAAGCUAGGGGAGCGAAUGGGAUUAGAUACCCCAAAAAUCCUAGCCGUAAACGAUGGAUACUAGGCGUUUCUCGUAUCGACCCGAGGAGUGCCGGAGCCAACGCGUUAAGUAUCCCGCCUGGGGAGUACGCACGCAAGUGUGAACUCACACGAAUUUGACGGGGCCCGCACAAGCGGUG